AUCCCGUAUAGAGACUAUGUGUCAAAAAGCUUAAAUAUCUCGGGUUAACUCGGAAUAUCAGUUAUCUAAUGAUUGAAAUCACAUCAAAAUGCUAUGAGGAAUCCAAAAAUGUGUAAUAUAUGCAAUUUGAAAAAGCUGAUAGCUACUUCCGUUCAUGGAAGUGAUAGAAACUUGAAAAUAUUCCUUUCGUUUGGUAUGUCUAUGAUAUUUCUAGUCAGUACGGAUAACACACUGGAAAUUAACUUCAUGAAAAAAUCUUUUGUAGUUCCCCAUAUAAUUUUUGGUGAGUGUUAGAAAUAAUGACUCUGCAUAGAUAAAUAAUAUCAUCCAUAACUUCCAUAAAAAACUUAUGAAUUGAUGUUUGACAAAAACUUGAAUAAUGUUUGUUUCGACUUCAAAAUUUAAAUAAAGUUAACGUCAUCAUCAUAAUUGAAGUGAAUAAUUUCAAUAGAAAAUAUUAUGUAAUCUCUAAAUCGUUUUUACAAAAUUUGAAAGAAUAUGGUUUGCAAUUCAAAAUUAUUUCAUCGAUGACAAUUGCUCCAGAAGUUCCGAACAAAACAAUUCUGUCUUGGAAACCUAAAUAAAUAAUCAUUUUUUUGAACCAGAAUCUGUAUGGCUCACUGUACCUAUAAGUGCUAUGUACUUUACCAAGAUUCUGCUAGGAAAAUCAAACAUCCUAACCUGAAAUUAUAAUGGAAUUCUAUCGAGAAUACGAAAGUACUCUCAAAGAGCAUAUUAUGGUUGUGGUUCCAGAAAGAAUUAUAGAUUUCAUAGGCAAUUUAGUAGGUAAACAUUCGGACAUUUUAAAAAUUUCUGAAUAAUAAUUUUGGAAUUUCAUGAGGUAAAGAUUUGUACAUUUCAAAAAUUUCUGAAAGAUAAUUUCGCAGUAACAUGAGGUGCAUAUCACGAACUAUUGGAUAAUUUGUAUGAUAUUUUUAUGGAACUUUACCUUUUGCUAUUGUUUUUCCUUGAAGUUUUGAAAAGUGCUAGUAUAGCCAUUGAAUUCACGUUGAAUAUUAGAUAGAAAAUAAUUUUUUCAGGAUGAAAGUUUUAAUGGAAUACAUCAGGUACAUAAGUAUCAACAUAAAGAUUUUCAUGUGAUGCUAAUAAUUUGAAAAGAAAUACAUAUCUUCAUUAUUCACUGAAAAAAGCAUAUUACAGAUAACUACUGUGUGCCUGUUGGAUCGAAAAAUAUGUACAUAAAUGCAGACAGAAAAACGUUGUGUAUACCUAUUUCCUCAUAUUUCAGUGUCAAAAUGUUCUGUCAAUCAACUUUCAAAUUACAGUGAGGCUCCAUAUACCUAUAAGUAUUUCUGAAGAAUAAAGAUAUUUGAUUGUUUUUCCAGUUACUGAAACUUGAACCAUUUUUUACGUAGAAAUCGAGGUGAAUAUUGGAGAACCUCUUUGAGUAAAUUAAAAAACUCAUUGUCUCAUAUUCAGUGAAAUUGAGAUAUCUGUUAUAAUAUCGAAGACUUUAUUCUUUUGUAAUGUGUAUUCAGAACACUGAUAUACU
Coccinella septempunctata (seven-spotted ladybird) is the source of this 1513-nucleotide long non-coding RNA. RefSeq lists it as uncharacterized. The record is from RefSeq and is a predicted model, not a curated record. The transcript is spliced from 3 exons. Lineage: Eukaryota; Metazoa; Arthropoda; Insecta; Coleoptera; Coccinellidae.